UUUCUGUGAUUCACCAGGGAGUUUCUCUUCAAAAUCAAUCCAAGGUGGAGUUAUUUCCCAGCAUCUGGAGUGAAUUGUGCUGUGAUGAGAUUCCUGCAUGCUUCAGUAAUGGAAGCAGAAUUUUAUUCUGUCACAGAUGACCAUAUGACCUGGGACUAUAAAAGCCUAUUACUGUAAUUCAAGUCAAUCCAAAACUGUCUAUUGCAUUAAGUGGGACCAGGACCAGGCUCUAACAGAAUUUUCUACAGAGGUGAAAAGAGCACCAGACAGCGACCAAAGAAGCUCAUUGUUACAAGAAGUGCUGAUAAAAUAGAAAGAGAUAGAAGUCCCCUACAAGUAUGCAACAAAUAAGCACCCUAGAGCGCUGCUCACCUCUCCUGGUGUCAACAAGCAGACCUAUAGAACAAAUGUAUUAAAGAUUAGAACAUUUCAUGGUGUGGACCUGAAGCCUGACUUAUGCAGAUAAGCCAUUCAGCAUAAGAAUGGAUGUUGUCUUCAUUUCUACAGA
Molecule: long non-coding RNA, 508 nt
Organism: Colius striatus (speckled mousebird)
Lineage: Eukaryota; Metazoa; Chordata; Aves; Coliiformes; Coliidae
Exons: 3
Source: RefSeq, a predicted model, not a curated record